ACCCUGACAGUCGGUACCAAUAAAACCCAGAAACUGUUGGUUUUGAUCUAUAUCAUUCUUUGAAAUACCUAUAUUCAGGAGAACCGGAGGGACUAAUGUAAGAGACUCAUAUUCAUGCUGAAAAAUGGGAAGUGUAGAAGAGCUAACAGAGGGGGCUGAAAUAGAUUUAAGUUUUUGAAAACUUUUGAUUAAACAAGGAGGACUCUUGUGUUUCCAAUAAUUGGAUGUAGUUAUUUGAAGAAGGAGGCUAGACAAGAUAAACCAGAGUUGGUGAUUAGAAAAUUGGGAGCAACGGAAAAGAAAUCUAUCACAAAGAUAUUGGCGUCGUAAAUGGAGUGGAGGCUCGACACACUCAACUUGCAUAGCAUUGAUAGGGCUUGAAUUCAUGGCACCACAAAUUAUCCUCAGGGCUUUAGAUUGAAUGCGGUCUAGUUUUUGGAAUCCAGCUACAUAUCCAGGCUCUAACAAAAAUGUCCCAUAAUCUAAAAUACUUCUUAUUAAGGCAUUGUACAUUAGUUUCAUACAAAAAUGAUGUGAACCCCACCAAACACCAGAAACACACCUAAGGAUAUUAAUAUUUUUUUCACAUUUAGAAACUAUGUACUCACAAUGUGGGAGGCCUGUUAAUUUACUGUCUAAUAUGACACCAAGGAAUUUAGUUUUAUCUUUUACUGAAAUGAAGUAAUUAUCAAAUUGCACCUUGAUUGGAGGAGGAAAUAGCUUUCUAGUAAACAAAACCACAACACUUUUAGGAACAGAAAGUUCUAAGCCAUUAAAAUCUAACCAUGACUUUAAGAAACCUAAGGAACAAGUGACGGAUCUACUGGCCUGUUCAGGAGAAAGAUUUGGUGAGUAAAGUAACAAAUCAUCAGCAUACUGUAAGACCCUAACUGUACCAUUUAGAGAUGACUCUAAAUCAGAUGUAUAAAUAUUGUAUAACAAUGGACUUAAUACAGAUCCUUGUGGUAGUCCUCUCCACACUAAACGAGAAAUUCUAUUGUUGUCGUCUAUAAGAAGACUAAUGGACCGUUCAGAUAAAAGGAAAUACAUCAUCAGCUACUUCUGUGAUCACCCUGGCCAAAGCAACCGAGCAGCCAACUAUGUCAGUAUCAUCUAAACUAGGCAAAAACAACAAUUUCUUCUCUACACAGCUUUUGAAAUUUUCCCAGUCAGCAUUACAUAAAUUGUAUUUAAGCCUAGGGCUAGGUUUCGGAGAUGGACGUGUAGAUGAAGGAAAUGAGAGUAUAAUUGGAUAAUGAUCACUACCAAAUGUAGAAUCAAGAGUUUGCCAGGUGAAAGAAGAUGCAAGUUCAGCAGAGCAAAUGGAUAGAUCAACAGCGCUGGGUGAUUCUGUAGGCGCUGUACGGCGAGUUGGAGAGCCAGUAUUAAGAACACAAAGAUUGUGAUCAUCUAAGAUUUUUAAAACACGAAGUCCAUUAUAAUUGGAUACUGAACUGCCCCAAAACUGAUGAUGUGAGUUGAAAUCUCCUAGAAUCAACAAGGGCCUAGGUAGAGAGGAAAUUAUGUGUUCUAAUUCAUUAAAAAUAAAAGAUGAUUGAUGAGGAAUAUAUACAGAGAGAAUGCAGAUGUUAUUUACAAUGGCAGCAACAAUUGAGAAAUCAUCACUGUGAGAUGGAAGCUGUACAGAUGAAAAUGAUUCAGAAUUCCUGACGAGUAAAGCUACCCCGCCCCACCCAUCAGGACGGUCCCCUCUGAGGCAUGAAUAGCCAGUAGCUCUGAGAAGAGCUCCAGGCUUGAGCCAUGUCUCAGAUAGGGCAAAAACACAUGGAUUAAAUUUAUUUAAUAAAUGAAUUAAAUCAUGUUUUUUAUUGA
Molecule: long non-coding RNA, 1833 nt
Organism: Cydia fagiglandana
Lineage: Eukaryota; Metazoa; Arthropoda; Insecta; Lepidoptera; Tortricidae
Exons: 2
Source: RefSeq, a predicted model, not a curated record